CACGCCCUAAACGAUGCGAACUGGAUGUUGGGGGCAUUUGGGCCUUCAGUAUCGAAGCUAACGCGUUAAGUUCGCCGCCUGGGGAGUACGGUCGCAAGACUGAAACUCAAAGGAAUUGACGGGGGCCCGCACAAGCGGUGGAGUAUGUGGUUUAAUUCGAUGCAACGCGCAGAACCUUACCUGGCCUUGACAUCCACGGAACCCUGCAGAGAUGCGGGGGUGCCUUCGGGAACCGUGAGACAGGUGC
RNAcentral lists this ribosomal RNA (247 nucleotides) under uncultured Lysobacteraceae bacterium. Its description in RNAcentral is "uncultured Xanthomonadaceae bacterium partial 16S ribosomal RNA". It matches the Rfam family "Bacterial small subunit ribosomal RNA", at positions 796 to 1041 of the family's 1533-position model. The record is from RNAcentral. Lineage: Bacteria; Pseudomonadati; Pseudomonadota; Gammaproteobacteria; Lysobacterales; Lysobacteraceae.